AAGAUUCUGAGGACAGCAAGAUGUCAGAGCACUUGCGAAAAACGGAUGUGUAUUCUUAUUUUAGGGGUUGCUUUAAGUUGUUUUUAUGUUGACAAUGCUGAAUACGUGGUACCCAAGUAAGAGCCCUAUAAAGAAAACACAAUGAUUCCGAGACAAGGGACAAAAAGGGACUUAUUUUCAGGAGUGUUGGUUGCUGAGAAAGGGUUCCAGUGUGGACAGUGAUGAGGAUGAGGAGGAGCUCUAUGCAGCAGGAAACAUGGUCAUAGGGAGCAGAGGGAACAAGAGUCAAGCUUCCCAUGUUUACAAGGCUUUCACUGUGGGCAGUCUAGUACUACAGAUCACUAGAGUUGGGGCCUGUUCCCGAGGGAGCCGUAUUUCCUCCGCCUCGGGCUUGUCAGAGUCGUGGAAGAAGAAAAAGGAUUCCGCUAGUCUGUGAGCAGGAUGUUAUGGAACAGACUGUGUGGUAUGUCCCGAGCAGCUGUGUGAAUGUACACAGUGUGACACCGAAGGACUUAAUCUCCCCUCUACACUUUCAGGGAACCUCUUCCCACUGUAUUCAGUAUGAUGCACCCUCUGGAUGAGAGUGGUGUGCAUACCUACAGGUCUGUUCGAGGCUGCCUGUGUGCAAUACGUCUCUGACAGCACCAUGAAAAUCAUCUUCUUCAACUGCAAGCCCUCCAUAGUUAUAUGACACUGUGCAGGGCAUACACUCAGUCACUCCAGAUGUGGCAGUGCUCUCCCCUGUAUCAGAGCUGAGGGACUCCACCAAGCACCACGAGCCCUCCUGUCUGGGUGACUACAUCUUCCAAGUCUGUUCCCUACAUGCAUGCCCUCGGAGACCCCUUCAGCAGCAGUGUCACCCUGGUGUGUGCGUGUAUUGAUAUGUGUGAAAGGGGGAGGGUAUAGUGAGUGUGGACCUCAAGGGGUAAAUGUUUCUUGAAUGGACGCUAAUUAAUAAAUGUUUAUGUAUUGUAACAUAGAAAUCUCUGCUUGUGUAUAGAACAGAACUGAGCACCAGAGGCAUGUUGGUAUGUUUACUGGGUCCAAUAAGGUCACAGCUCUCUAGGUCGACAUUGUUACCUGCAAGGGGUAGUUUUGUCAAGACCGGUGAAGACAUGCCAUUCAGCCAAGGGAACUUCUCUCCCAGACCUGUCAGUCAUUUCCAUGCCCUUCUGAGCAAACCACUUUUAACAGAUGUUUUUGAAAAGAUUUGUAAAUGUCAAAGUCCAAUUGAGAAGGUUCUAAAAAAUGUCAUAUUGAUUAGAUAUUUAUCCCCUGAUAUCUUAAUGUAUGUACAAUUAUUCAGCAAUAUGUAACAUUCAAUAUUGUUGAAUGACAUGUAGAUCUCAAAUGAUCCAUAUCUCUGUCUGUUUAGUUUUUUUGUAGGAGCUAAGCAAUGGCACAAUGUUGAGGAGAACUAGCCCUGAAAUUGCUACCUCGGGGCUGGCUGGACCCCUUUACCCCGCUCUUCCCCCCACAUCCCAGCCCUGUAUGUGCUGAAGAUGGACGAGGAGCGGGGGAGCGACGACGAUCACUGCUGGGCCUCCUGCAACAGCUGGCCAGCCCAGAUGCUGCGCCCGUGCUUCGUGAGGGCGGCACCUCCGUGUGUUCAGCUGGCUCAGCAGCUGUCUGGAUGGUGAGGAGGUAGCACCUACCUGCCCGGCAUCUGUGAGAGAGCCAAACUACUGGUGCUGAGCUACGCCCUGUACAUGAUUGGAAAUGGCAAUGCCACUUCAGUUGAUGUUUUGAAGUAUCUAGCCACGGUCUCCAGGCCAAAAGAAAACUAAUUGCAGCAGCUUUGAGACAUAGCAGUAUCAGCCUGAUGCUCCAAAUGAAAGUUUGGCUGAAAAGAUUGUUGUUUGGCUAACAUCAGCAGGUUUCACAUUGAAAUAUCUUGAAUCCAUGCUCUUUGGUGUGGCUCUGCCCAUCUGCCUGUUGAUUGGGUGAAAGGACCUCACCAAGAAAGCACUCAAAGUUACCGUGGCCAAAGGCAAAGCUGUACGUGUGAGUUUGGGGGGUUAUUGGAUAGUUUGGGCUUCAUCUUUACAACCUUGUGGACUUGUAGUUAAUGUUUGUCUGUUUUGUGUGUGUGCGGUCCGGGGCUGAUGCUGGAGGCUCCAGCCACCACAGAGGCAGACGAUAAGGAGGUUGGUAUGAGUGAUCUGAACCAGGAUGUGAUUGGUCUCAUCUGGGGCCAGGAGGCCAGACGUCACCUCCAGAGCUCCCGAGUGGUCCACCUGGCCGAAAGUCAGCGACAUAGAGGAGAAGGAGAACAACGGGAACAUUGACCUUCCUCCCAACAUGACGAGCUGGUCCAGCUUUCACAACUGGGUGUCUGCAGGCCUGAACAUCGCCCCUGGCCUCCCAGGUGGACUCUGCCUGCAUCGCCGACAACAAGCCCAAGAGCCCUGAUCAGGCUCAUGAGUACGCAGGCUUCUUCAUGUCUCUGGGCCUCAACGGACACCUCAGCAAGCUGGUCACACUCAACGUACAUGACGACAUCACCGAGUGAACCACGCUGAGUAGGAAGUCCAUGGAGGACUAAUUAAAAUGGCUGCCUUGACAUGACUAGCAUCGGGCUGCUACUGGGUGUGUCUGCAGCCAAGCUGAGAAACAUGGACGUGUCAAUCACCCACCUGCAGAGCAUCCACAUCCCAGCACUGCUCCCACCCACCUCCACUGAGCUGGACGUACCGCACAACGUGCAGGUGUCGGCCGUGUUGGGCAUCGGCCUGGUCUUCCAGGACACGGGCCACCGCCACAACGCAGAGGUGUGCUCGCUGAGAUCGGAAAAUGACCCAACACUCCUCCAGGCUAUUUGACCAAGAAGGAGAGUGAUGGAGUGCUGCAUCAGAGGACCUGGCUUCCACAAUCACCCAACCUCAACCCAAUUGAGAUGGUUACUACGUGAAUCCGUAUGUAUUAUUUCAAAGUUUAUUCUACAAUGUAGAAAAUAGUAAAAAAUAAAGAAAAACACUUGAAUGAGUAGGUGUUCUAAAACUUUUGACCGGUAGUGUACAUUGUGAUAUUUUUGUAUAGUGGUUUUAAACAUUUUGUGUUGUAAAUAUGUAGUGGUGUAAUGAUGUACUGUUUUGCAGGAAGUUAUCAACUGUACUGCUGUUUAUGUAGAGCGGCGAUAAAAAGAAACAUGGAAAGCACUCUUCAUACUUCAAAAGGCUGAUAAAUAAAUAGUGCACAAAACCAUGGUCUAAGAGAAUACUAUGACCAGAGAUUUAAGAAUGUCCUAAGUGUGGGGGUUUCUGGUCAUCAACGUGGACGUCACCUGUCCAAGAGCGACCCUGGCUAUGAUCUACCUGAAGACCAACAACAGGUCUAUCGCAGGUUGGCUGAAAGCUAAAGACACCAUGUUCCUCCUGGACUGUACUCUGGACACUGGCUAGGUGUAUCAGCAUGUGGGAUGAGAUACUGCCCAACUCGAAAGCAGCAAUGUUCCCCCGGCAAGCCCAUGACCACAUAAUUGCUGGAACCUGUAUGACUGUGGGAUUCCACUUUGCUGGCUCGGCCAACUCUGACGCAUUCGACUGCUUGACAGGCCACUAUAACUUACAGAUGUGUCUGAGCAUGUUGUUGUCCAUGCUGAUGGCUGGCUCUGGUGACCUGAAGGUGCUGGAGCUCUGCCGCGUCCUCCAGAAGAGGACCAGAACUAUGACCCACCACAUGGCCCUGGGAGGAGGCAGGUACACUCCAACUCGGCCAUCGCUACCUUGCCAUGUGCGCUCUACCACCAGUUUCCUGCCCACAGCACAGUUAACCGAUUCAAGUAAAAGGACCAUUGAUACUGGAAGCUGUCCAUAGACCUGAGGUAAAGGAACUCCACAUCUUGAAGGGACGAGAGUGCAUGAGAAUACAGGUUUUGGCCAGUCAGGUCCAUUCUGUCCAGAGAUGGGGUUCUGUAUCUGAAGCUAGGCCCUAUAAGGUUGACCUUCUGGACUGGAAGAAUCUAUUAUCCCCGUCGUCGUCAACAGGAACUCAGAAGUCCGCACAUUCAAGGUACAAACAUCCGGGUCCUCUGUUUACACAAAACUGGACUGACUGGUCACCUUUUAACUAGUUACAUGUCAUCAGGUACUUCAUCAGUACUACUUCAGUACUACAUAUUGGAUAUUGGCUACAUAGGAGAUUCAAUGAUACUUAGCGUACAAGCAUAACUUUGUCAACAUGGCAUGUUGCAUAUACCAGUACACAUUUAUUUCAUUAGUAUGUUAAGGUUGCAAAACUUGAACCACUGAAAAUGAAAUCAAUGAACUAUCAACACAUAGCUAGCAUAAUGAGUCUCGAACAUCCGUGUUGGCCAGUCAGAAAGAAGCAUGAAUGAGACAUUUAGAUAUUGAUACUGAUAUAAUCCCAGUAUAGCAUAGAGCAGUGCACGUGACGUCACUGUGGGGCGGCAAAACAACCAAUAUGUCUCGACACUGUGUGGCAGAAUAUUUCCCUGUGAGCCUACCAGCCUAUGGUCCAAUAGCCUUUUAGUCAACAUGUCCCCUGUCCCACGAGAUGCAAUAACUCAUUGGAAACCGUCAAGUGCCUCCGUCAGGCACGAUCAGCAGACCUUGUUGUUGUAGCAGUUAUUUUUUCUCCCACAGCCAGAGGCCAUCUCGACCUUCCACUCCGACGCUGCCUUGGUCUCCUUCGCUGAAUAAUUCUGUAAAGCCUUGGAUAGCAUGAGACACGUUGAUUAGCAGAGUGGAUGCUAUGUGAUGCAACUUAACGUUGUAACACAGAGCCAACAUUGAGGGUUUAAAUUAGACUUAAAUACUGCCUAUGUCGCUCCCCUUGUGAAACCGUUUGUUAAUCACUUGAAUCCCAUUUCCACCAGGUAGAUAUCACUAUAUGUAAUUGGACAUGUGGAAUAUUUAUUUUUGAAUACACUGUGAAAUUGAAGGAGAUUGGUUCUAACCUUCAGCUCAUGAUUGGAUUGCAAUUAUUGAAACACCCCUCACUGUCCUAUUUUAUAAUUCCACAGUUUCUGUUUCUGAUUGUUCAAUUGAUAAGCACUCACUGAAUGGAGCUUCUAUUUACUGUUGUUGCACUGAAUCAAAUCAAAUCAAAUUUUAUUUGUCACAUACACAUGGUUAGCAGAUGUUAAUGCGAGUGUAGCGAAAUGCUUGUGCUUCUAGUUCCGACAAUGCAGUAAUAACCAACAAGUAAUCUAA
Molecule: RNA transcript, 5174 nt
Organism: Oncorhynchus gorbuscha (pink salmon)
Lineage: Eukaryota; Metazoa; Chordata; Actinopteri; Salmoniformes; Salmonidae
Gene: anapc1
Gene name: anaphase promoting complex subunit 1
Exons: 25
Source: RefSeq, a predicted model, not a curated record